AUCCACAGCCGUACCACCCUGGAUGUGCCUAGUCUCUCUGGUCUCAGAAGCUAAGCAGGGGUGGGCCUGGUUAGUACUUGCAUGGGGGAGAAGAGUUAGUAGGUAGUUA
RNAcentral lists this ribosomal RNA (109 nucleotides) under Tursiops truncatus (common bottlenose dolphin). The record is from RNAcentral. Lineage: Eukaryota; Metazoa; Chordata; Mammalia; Artiodactyla; Delphinidae.